GGUCAAGUGAAGAAGCGCAUACGGUGGAUGCCUUGGCAGUCAGAGGCGAUGAAAGACGUGGUAGCCUGCGAAAAGCUUCGGGGAGUCGGCAAACAGACUUUGAUCCGGAGAUCUCUGAAUGGGGGAACCCACCUAGGAUAACCUAGGUAUCUUGUACUGAAUCCAUAGGUGCAAGAGGCGAACCAGGGGAACUGAAACAUCUAAGUACCCUGAGGAAAAGAAAUCAACCGAGAUUCCCUUAGUAGUGGCGAGCGAACGGGGAUUAGCCCUUAAGCUUCAUUGAUUUUAGCGGAACGCUCUGGAAAGUGCGGCCAUAGUGGGUGAUAGCCCCGUACGCGAAAGGAUCUUUGAAGUGAAAUCGAGUAGGACGGAGCACGAGAAACUUUGUCUGAACAUGGGGGGACCAUCCUCCAAGGCUAAAUACUACUGACUGACCGAUAGUGAACCAGUACCGUGAGGGAAAGGCGAAAAGAACCCCGGAGAGGGGAGUGAAAUAGAACCUGAAACCGUAUGCGUACAAGCAGUGGGAGCCUACUUGUUAGGUGACUGCGUACCUUUUGUAUAAUGGGUCAGCGACUUAUAUUCAGUGGCAAGCUUAACCGUAUAGGGUAGGCGUAGCGAAAGCGAGUCUUAAUAGGGCGUUUAGUCGCUGGGUAUAGACCCGAAACCGGGCGAUCUAUCCAUGAGCAGGUUGAAGGUUAGGUAACACUGACUGGAGGACCGAACCCACUCCCGUUGAAAAGGUAGGGGAUGACUUGUGGAUCGGAGUGAAAGGCUAAUCAAGCUCGGAGAUAGCUGGUUCUCCUCGAAAGCUAUUUAGGUAGCGCCUCAUGUAUCACUCUGGGGGGUAGAGCACUGUUUCGGCUAGGGGGUCAUCCCGACUUACCAAACCGAUGCAAACUCCGAAUACCCAGAAGUGCCGAGCAUGGGAGACACACGGCGGGUGCUAACGUCCGUCGUGAAAAGGGAAACAACCCAGACCGCCAGCUAAGGUCCCAAAGUUGUGGUUAAGUGGUAAACGAUGUGGGAAGGCUUAGACAGCUAGGAGGUUGGCUUAGAAGCAGCCACCCUUUAAAGAAAGCGUAAUAGCUCACUAGUCGAGUCGGCCUGCGCGGAAGAUGUAACGGGGCUCAAACCACACACCGAAGCUGCGGGUGUCACGCAAGUGACGCGGUAGAGGAGCGUUCUGUAAGCCUGUGAAGGUGAGUUGAGAAGCUUGCUGGAGGUAUCAGAAGUGCGAAUGCUGACAUGAGUAACGACAAUGGGUGUGAAAAACACCCACGCCGAAAGACCAAGGGUUCCUGCGCAACGUUAAUCGACGCAGGGUUAGUCGGUUCCUAAGGCGAGGCUGAAAAGCGUAGUCGAUGGGAAACAGGUUAAUAUUCCUGUACUUCUGGUUACUGCGAUGGAGGGACGGAGAAGGCUAGGCCAGCUUGGCGUUGGUUGUCCAAGUUUAAGGUGGUAGGCUGAAAUCUUAGGUAAAUCCGGGGUUUCAAGGCCGAGAGCUGAUGACGAGUCGUCUUUUAGAUGACGAAGUGGUUGAUGCCAUGCUUCCAAGAAAAGCUUCUAAGCUUCAGGUAACCAGGAACCGUACCCCAAACCGACACAGGUGGUCGGGUAGAGAAUACCAAGGCGCUUGAGAGAACUCGGGUGAAGGAACUAGGCAAAAUGGCACCGUAACUUCGGGAGAAGGUGCGCCGGCUAGGGUGAAGGAUUUACUCCGUAAGCUCUGGCUGGUCGAAGAUACCAGGCCGCUGCGACUGUUUAUUAAAAACACAGCACUCUGCAAACACGAAAGUGGACGUAUAGGGUGUGACGCCUGCCCGGUGCCGGAAGGUUAAUUGAUGGGGUUAGCGCAAGCGAAGCUCUUGAUCGAAGCCCCGGUAAACGGCGGCCGUAACUAUAACGGUCCUAAGGUAGCGAAAUUCCUUGUCGGGUAAGUUCCGACCUGCACGAAUGGCGUAACGAUGGCGGCGCUGUCUCCACCCGAGACUCAGUGAAAUUGAAAUCGCUGUGAAGAUGCAGUGUAUCCGCGGCUAGACGGAAAGACCCCGUGAACCUUUACUGUAGCUUUGCACUGGACUUUGAGCCUGCUUGUGUAGGAUAGGUGGGAGGCUUUGAAGCGUGGACGCCAGUUCGCGUGGAGCCAUCCUUGAAAUACCACCCUGGCAUGCUU
Molecule: ribosomal RNA, 2176 nt
Filed under: Pseudomonas aeruginosa
Lineage: Bacteria; Pseudomonadati; Pseudomonadota; Gammaproteobacteria; Pseudomonadales; Pseudomonadaceae
Description: partial 23S ribosomal RNA
Rfam family: Bacterial large subunit ribosomal RNA
Source: RNAcentral